UACAGAGGGGGCAAGCGUUGUUCGGAAUUACUGGGCGUAAAGGGCGCGUAGGCGGCCUGCUAAGUCGCACGUGAAAUCCCCGGGCUCAACCCGGGAACUGCGUCCGAUACUGUCAGGCUUGAAUCCGGGAGAGGGAUGUGGAAUUCCAGGUGUAGCGGUGAAAUGCGUAGAUAUCUGGAGGAACACCGGUGGCGAAGGCGGCAUCCUGGACCGGUAUUGACGCUGAUGAGCGAAAGCCAGGGGAGCAAACGGG
RNAcentral lists this ribosomal RNA (253 nucleotides) under uncultured bacterium. RNAcentral's name for it is "partial 16S ribosomal RNA". It matches the Rfam family "Bacterial small subunit ribosomal RNA", at positions 524 to 776 of the family's 1533-position model. The record is from RNAcentral.